GAUGAAUGCUGGCGGCGUGCCUAAUACAUGCAAGUCGUACGGAAAGGCCCUUCGGGGUACUCGAGUGGCGGACGGCUGAGUAACGCGUGGGAACGUGCCCCAAAGUGAGGGAUAAGCACCGGAAACGGUGUCUAAUACCGCAUAUGGUCUUCGGAUUAAAGCUUCGGCGCUUUGGGAGCGGCCCGCGUACGAUUAGAUAGUUGGUAGGGUAAUGGCCUACCAAGUCGACGAUCGUUAACUGGUCUGAGAGGAUGAUCAGUCAGACUGGAACUGAGACACGGUCCAGACUCCUACGGGAGGCAGCAGUAAGGAAUCUUCCACAAUGGGGGCAACCCUGACGGAGCAACGCCGCGUGCAGGAUGAAGGCCUUCGGGUCGUAAACUGCUUUUAUGAGUGAAGAAUAUGACGGUAACUCAUGAAUAAGCACCGGCUAACUACGUGCCAGCCGCCGCGGUAA
RNAcentral lists this ribosomal RNA (457 nucleotides) under uncultured bacterium. Its description in RNAcentral is "partial 16S ribosomal RNA". It matches the Rfam family "Bacterial small subunit ribosomal RNA", at positions 28 to 523 of the family's 1533-position model. The record is from RNAcentral.